CCUGCGAUGGUAAAAAUAAUGAACAAUGAAAAACAGGUACUGGCAAUUCUUUAGAAUGAACUCCCAUGUAUGAGAGAGAGAGAGAGAGAGAGAGAGAGAGAGAGAGAGAGAAAUCUAUCCCAUUAGCAUCUAUGCAACCUGCUUACCAGGAGACAGGACAGCUACAAGCAGGGCUACAGUCCACAGCAUGCCUUGUUCUCCUGGUCUCAGAAGGGAAGGGAUCUGGUGAUAAGGGGAGCAGAAUGCCCUGUCAAAACUCUAAUCCUACGCAAAAAGGGAGGGGCCCCAGGCGAGGGAGUGCAGCUGGUCUUCCUGACAGAUGUCAGAGCAGGGAGAGUACCAGGCAGGGCAGGGCCUACCUUAGGUGGUAGCCACGCCUCUGCCCAGAAGGGUGAGUGCAGAGGGAGGUAGCCCCGCCUCUGCUUCCACCCCCUUCUCUUCACCCUCCUGUGGAGGCAGGCUGAGAGCAGGCCCUCCCCAGAGGCAGGUGUGUGAGGACCACAGAGACCCCAAUCUGAGGCAGGUUGAGGGCAAACAGGGCGGAUAGCAGGCCCCUUGGUGAAGACUGCCAGCUCCCCUGGGCCAGCAUCCCAGGUCAGGCUCACUUCUCUGCAGGUCUCAGUCCCAGAGUGGGGAUGAUGCUGCCAGGGCCUUGUCCCGCGAUGCAGCGUCCUUCCUGCUGCCCUGACCCACCUUCCCCAGCUCUGUAGUGAACUCUGGAGACCUCCAGCAGCCCAUCUGAGAAGCUUUGCAUCUACCUUCUCCAAAGAAUUAUCAUCAAGCCUGUUGGCUACAAUGCUGGUGGCAUUUAAGUGACACCUGUGCAGAUUUCCAGCACCACAUUUAUGGAUGUAUUUGGUUGUGUGUUAGAGAGACUCAGUAAAACUACAACAACAUUGCAGUUCCACUCCUGUCACUGUUUCAGCAUCUCUCAGGUAAUAGACUGCUGCUAGCAUGAGCGAGCUCAUCAGUGAGUAAGUAGGGGCCUGUGUGGGUCUCCCUUUGCCCUGCGGAAUCCCCAGGGGAAGGAUCGGAAGCUGCUGUGUAAAUGGCUCUGAGAGCCGAAUGCCCUGGGCCCCAAGCAGAGGGUAAACUCCAGUGCCUUGGAGACUGGGAGUUCCUUACCGGAACUUCAUGCUCAUGUUUUAAAUAUGAGAAAGCACAAAAUUCCCAUUUCACUGCAGUGGAAAUAAAAUUCUUAAAACAGAAGAGUUAUAAACUAAGCCUGCCAGAAUGUAGAGGAACUAUAAAGCUAGUGCAACAAAAGGAGUGCAGCACUUGGCGCUAGAAUAUAAAGAUUCACGGGACAGAAAUCCACCGAUAUGCAAUAUCUUAAUGUAGGAUGAAGUUGUACAUUCAGACCAGCAAGGAAUAAUUCAUUAUGCCACACAUUCUGCUUUGGGAAUUGGUUCACCAUAUAGAACCAAGUACUGUGAAACGGCUACCUUAUAACUUACAAACAGAAGUUUAAAUGUAAUGAAUCUGAAAUCAGAAAACCCUUAGAAUAAAUGUAGACAAAUGGCAUAUAAUUUGUGGGUGAAAUAGACCUUAUCCGUGUCUGGCAACACAACAAGAAACCUUAGUGAAAAUUUUGUAGUUGUUUUUUAAAAGAACUUUAAGAACUAAGAUUCAAAUUUCUUUUCAUCAAUGUGUGCUAAAAUAACUAAGAAGUAAGUAGGGGAAGCCUUUUCAGUAUAUUCGCUAGAAGCUAACGUCUCCACCGUGGUCUUCAAGGCUCUUCCAAACCAAAAGGAACACUAAAUGCUCCAUAAGAGCAAAGAACAAGGAGCAUAACAAGGCAACUGACACAGGAGAAAUGAGCUUGUGAAAUAAGGCUGACUCUCAUUAGAGACAGCAAGAUGCAAACAAUUAACAGAACUCCAUUUUUUUUUUUUAAAACUGCAUGGCAGGGAUUGAAAUAUCUGCCACUUCAAGCAGCAUAACCAUAGAGAAGUCAGCUUGCCCCCUUUGCCCUAGUUUCUUAUCUGUAUUUCAGUGAUACUUUGAACCCUCAGUAGGGUUUCUGGGAAGAUCAAAUGAGAUCAUAUAUGUAACGUGCUUAGCACAGUAGCUACCUGAGAAUGAGUGCCAAAAAUGUGAUACUUAACAUAAAAGCAAAUAAAUUUCCAAUGAGGACAUCUUUAAAAAGUUUCUGAAAUUUGAGUAUUAUGGCAAAAUUAUACAUGUGUUUAAAAAUCCAUGAUAACAAAAUAAAUUUAUCUCUUAAUUCCAUUUUUCCAUGGAUGUUCUGAAGUCCUCUCGUAUGUGUAGAAAAGAGUUAGGCACUACCAGUCAUCUGCCUCACACCCAUGUAGGUCUCAAGUUGUGCCUAAGUUGAUUCCCGUUCAAUGUAUCCAAACUGGAGUUGAAAGGAAAGCGACUCAGCUUGCUUGGAUGACAUCUGUAAGGAUGGGUCUUAAGAGGGACCACUGGCAUGGUUCUUGACACCUGAAAAUGAGGAUGUCACAUGGGCAAAAGCUGAGAUAAGAGAUGAAGAAAUGGACAAGCCGGUUCUGAUGCUUUCAAGUUCUGGAUGCCAUCAACUCCCAGGCCUGUAAGACACCCUGCCUUACUUGGCCAUUUGAAACCAAACAUUCCUAGCUACUGCAGAUACAAAGCUUAAAAACAUAAACAUGACAGCACUCUUUACAUCAACUGAAAAUUCAAGCACAACUAUUUGAAGCUUUACCAAGUCAACCCUCAAGUUCUCUUUGAUAAUAAGAUUUUGAAUUAAUAAAAUGUGAUACAUUCACAGUACAGAAUGCCAAUGAGUAAUUCAAGGCAUGCAUACUAGCAGGAGUAACUAUUCAGAAGUGUACUGUGAAGUACAGAAAACAUGUGAUGGAUUGAAAUAUACAUCCUAUUUUAUGUCUUGAGGCAUGAUGGAAGUUUUUCAUUAUUUGUGAAUACAUGCCUUUGCAGCAUGAGUGAGACCUGGUUGGUGGUUACCCUUGGGAGGGGAAAGGGAAGGAUGGGCUUGGGAAAAUAAACCCAGAGUCUUCAGCUGAAUUAGUUCAUAUGAAUUAUGAAUUAGUUCAUGAAACCAUUAUGAAAAUAUGAAGCAAAUGUGUUAAAAUGUGAAGAUUUAACUAAACUAAGUAAUAGGCACCUCAAGAUUUGUUUUCUUAUUCACUCUAACCUUCAGUAUGAUUGAAAUAUUUCAUUAUUUUAGAAGCUUAGAAGUGAGAAUAUGUGCCAACCACCAGCCUUCCCAUAAUUCUCUCCUAAAGAUGUUCCAUAAGACCUUAGGUGACCUUGCCUGUCUCAGAAACUAGUUAAAUGCUAUUCUUCCAACCCCUAGGAGAGUAGAAGGAACUCAGCUGAGUGCUAGACCACUGGGCAAAGGCCUGGAGAUGGGAGUUCAGUCUUUAGGAAAGGGCCGGGGUGGAGGUGCAGGGCUGGGGGCCUGGAGGCAGUGUGAAGGCAUUGAGAAGGUGGUGGGAUGUGAGCUCUGGGGUUUGGUGUUGGGCUCCGAGUUUAUCUUUGCUCAGCGCAGAGUCAGAAACAGGAAAUGAGAUGCGGCUGGCCUAUCUCGAGUACCAGGAAUAACCACAGGCACAAUUUUCAGUGUAGUAUAGGGCAGGUCGGAAUCACUGUGCCAGUCCAGACAGCACAGUAAUACACCCCAGAGUCGUCUCUUCCCAGGUUUCGUAGAACGACAUUAUAGCUGCCCUGUGUGCUUUUAGAAGCUUGGUAUUUCCCUGCAUCAAAUCCCGAAUCCACUGUAGAACUGGAACUGCUGACGACGUAGUAGAGAAUGCGCUGUGGGGCCUUCCCCUCCUGGAACCGGUACCAGUGGAUGUAGUUACUUUGUUGAGUAAUACUACAAGUGACUGUAGCAGAUGACCCAGUCGGCUUGGUGACCACUGUCAUGGUCUUCUCUGAGUUGGAAGAUGUUUGACUGCCUGCAAUGGCAACCACAAAAACAAUGAGAAAAUGAUAAUUCUUUAGUAUGACCUCCAUGGAGAGAGAGAGAGAGAGAGAGAGAGAGAACUCGCAUUAACAUCUAUGCAACCUACUUACCAGGAG
Non-coding RNA from Oryctolagus cuniculus (rabbit), 4029 nucleotides. Lineage: Eukaryota; Metazoa; Chordata; Mammalia; Lagomorpha; Leporidae. The record is from RefSeq and is a predicted model, not a curated record.